Molecule: ribosomal RNA, 673 nt
Filed under: Aureoumbra lagunensis
Lineage: Eukaryota; Pelagophyceae; Sarcinochrysidales; Sarcinochrysidaceae
Description: partial Eukaryotic large subunit ribosomal RNA
Rfam family: Eukaryotic large subunit ribosomal RNA
Source: RNAcentral
UAGAGGAUACUUCGGCGUCGGCCCCGUUCUAAGUUCCUUGGAACAGGACGUCAUAGAGGGUGAGAAUCCCGUAUGCGGUCGGAAAGGUGCUCUAUACGUAGCUCCUUCGACGAGUCGAGUUGUUUGGGAAUGCAGCUCUAAGUGGGUGGUAAAUUCCAUCUAAAGCUAAAUAUUGGCGAGAGACCGAUAGCGAACAAGUACAGUGAUGGAAAGAUGAAAAGAACUUUGAAAAGAGAGUGAAAAAGUACGUGAAAUUGUUGAAAGGGAAGGGCUUGAGAUCAGACUUGGUAUUUUGCGAUCCUUUCCUUCUUGGUUGGGUUCCUCGCAGCUUACUGGGCCAGCAUCGGUUUGGAUGGUAGGAUAAUGACUAAGGAAUGUGGCUCUACUUCGGUGGAGUGUUAUAGCCUUGGUUGAUACUGCCUGUCUAGACCGAGGACUGCGUCUUUGACUAGGAUGUUGGCAUAAUGAUCUUAAGCCACCCGUCUUGAAACACGGACCAAGGAGUCUAACGUCUAUGCGAGUGUUUGGGUGUAAAACCCGUACGCGUAAUGAAAGUGAACGUAGGUGAGAGCUCUUAAGAGUGCAUCAUCGACCGAUCCUGAUGUCUUCGGAUGGAUUUGAGUAAGAGCAUAGCUGUUGGGACCCGAAAGAUGGUGAACUAUGCCUGAAUAGG